UCGAGUGGUCAAAUGCGCUGGCCAUAUAUGACCACUGGGCAUAUAUUUUCCUUCGGAUGACACGUGGUCAAACAGGAUUAACAACAUAAAAUAUGUAUUGAUUAUUUGUCUCCGGGAUCAUAUUGAUAGCGACUAAAUAUAAUGGAAAAGUCAUCGUCUGGUUUAAACUAAAAGCAUUAUUUUUUCAAAUAUCCAAGCGCACCCUAUACAUUACUAUAACUACAUGUAGUUAAAUCAUCGUCAAAAGCCUGUGUGAUACCGUUUUGUGGGAAUACGUGAUACGUGCA
Molecule: long non-coding RNA, 287 nt
Filed under: Mytilus galloprovincialis (Mediterranean mussel)
Lineage: Eukaryota; Metazoa; Mollusca; Bivalvia; Mytilida; Mytilidae
Source: RNAcentral